GCGAUAUUUUGGCAGUGCAUAUACUAAAAGUGGAAUGGGAUAGAGAAGAUUAGCAUGGUCCCUUUGCAAGGAUGUCUUGCAGAUUUGUGUACCAUAUCUUC
Molecule: small nuclear RNA, 101 nt
Filed under: Chinchilla lanigera (long-tailed chinchilla)
Lineage: Eukaryota; Metazoa; Chordata; Mammalia; Rodentia; Chinchillidae
Source: RNAcentral